This 200-nucleotide ribosomal RNA is filed under the name uncultured bacterium. RNAcentral describes it as "partial 16S ribosomal RNA". It matches the Rfam family "Bacterial small subunit ribosomal RNA", at positions 1294 to 1500 of the family's 1533-position model. The record is from RNAcentral.
CGGAUUGGAGUCUGCAACCCGACUCCAUGAAGCUGGAUUCGCUAGUAAUCGCGCAUCAGCCACGGCGCGGUGAAUACGUUCCCGGGCCUUGUACACACCGCCCGUCAAGCCAUGGGAGCCGGGAGUGCCUGAAGUGCGCGGCCGCGAGGAGCGCCCUAGGGCAAGACUGGUGACCUGGGGCUAAGUCGUAACAAGGUAAC